AGUGAACGCUGGCGGUAGGCCUAACACAUGCAAGUCGAACGGCAGCACAGUAAGAGCUUGCUCUUACGGGUGGCGAGUGGCGGACGGGUGAGGAAUACAUCGGAAUCUACUUUUUCGUGGGGGAUAACGUAGGGAAACUUACGCUAAUACCGCAUACGACCUACGGGUGAAAGCAGGGGAUCUUCGGACCUUGCGCGAUUGAAUGGGCCGAUGUCGGAUUAGCUAGUUGGCGGGGUAAAGGCCCACCAAGGCGACGAUCCGUAGCUGGUCUGAGAGGAUGAUCAGCCACACUGGAACUGAGACACGGUCCAGACUCCUACGGGAGGCAGCAGUGGGGAAUAUUGGACAAUGGGCGCAAGCCUGAUCCAGCCAUACCGCGUGGGUGAAGAAGGCCUUCGGGUUGUAAAGCCCUUCUGUUGGGAAAGAAAAGCAGCAGGUUAAUACCCCGCUGUUCUGACGGUACCCAAAGAAUAAGCACCGGCUAACUUCGUG
Molecule: ribosomal RNA, 492 nt
Filed under: uncultured bacterium
Lineage: Bacteria
Description: partial 16S ribosomal RNA
Rfam family: Bacterial small subunit ribosomal RNA
Source: RNAcentral